Molecule: small nucleolar RNA, 125 nt
Filed under: Larimichthys crocea (large yellow croaker)
Lineage: Eukaryota; Metazoa; Chordata; Actinopteri; Sciaenidae
Description: Small nucleolar RNA SNORA65 (ENSLCRG00005003068.1)
Rfam family: Small nucleolar RNA SNORA65
About the family: U65 belongs to the H/ACA class of snoRNAs which are thought to guide the sites of modification of uridines to pseudouridines.
Source: RNAcentral
CCCGCCCAUAUGCCGUCUGUGACGGUGACUGAGUAAAUCCAGUGGAGGCUCAGAGUGACCCAGCUUUAGGAAACAGGGCUGCCCCAACAUGUGGACAACUCUGUGCCGAAAAGUCUGGAACAGAU